Gasterosteus aculeatus aculeatus (three-spined stickleback) is the source of this 1864-nucleotide long non-coding RNA. NCBI's taxonomy places the organism in Eukaryota, Metazoa, Chordata, Actinopteri, Perciformes, Gasterosteidae. The record is from Ensembl.
GGCAACGACACCCUGUCCGACGUCUACACCCGCAACGGCACCCUGUCCGACGUCUACACCCGCAACGGCACCCUGGGCGACGAUGGCAGCAAUGGUACUUUGGCUGACGUCUACGCGGGCAACGGCACCCUGGGCGACGACGGCAACGAGACUUUGGCUGACGUCUACGCGGGCAACGGCACCCUGGGCGACGACGGCAGCAAUGGAACUUUGGCAGAUGCCGACACGGGCAACGGCACCCUGGGUGACGACGGCAGCAAUGGAACUUUGGCUGACGGCUACACGGGCAACGGCACCCUGGGCGACGACGGCAACGUGACUUUUGCUGACGUCUACACUGGCAACGGCACCCUGGCCGACGUCGAGACGGGCAACGGAACUUUGGCAGAUGGCAACGACACCCUGGGCGACGACGGAAACGUGACUUUGGCUGACGGCUACACGGGCAACGGCACCCUGGGCGACGACGGCAGCAAUGGAACUUUGGCUGAUGGCUACACGGGCAACGGCACCCUGGGCGACGACGGCAACGUGACUUUUGCUGACGUCUACACUGGCAACGGUACCCUGGCCGACGUCGAGACGGGCAACGGAACUUUGGCAGAUGGCAACGGCACCCUGGGCGACGACGGCAGCAAUGGAACUUUGGCUGACGGCUACACGGGCAACGGCAACCUGGGCGACGUCGACACGGGCAACGGAACUUUGGCAGAUGGCAACGGCACCCUGUCCGACGUCUACACCCGCAACGGCACCCUGGGCGACGAUGGCAGCAAUGGUACUUUGGCAGAUGGCUACGCAGGCAACGGCACCCUGGGCGACGACUGCAACGAGACUUUGGCUGACGUCUACGCGGGCAACGGCACCCUGGGCGACGACACCCGCAACGGCACCCUGGACGACGGCAGCAAUGGAACUUUGGCAGAUGCCGACGCAGGCAACGGCACCCUGAGCGACGACGGCAACGUGACCCUAGCUGACGUCUACACGGGCAACGGAACUUUGGCUGACGGCUACACGGGCAACGGCACCCUGGGCGACGACUGCAACGUGACUUUUGCCGACGUCUACACUGGCAACGGCACCCUGGCCGACGUCGAGACGGGCAACGGAACUUUGGCAGAUGGCAACGGCACCCUGGGCGACGACGGCAGCAAUGGAACUUUGGCUGACGGCUACACGGGCAACGGCACCCUGGGCGACGACGGCAACGUGACUUUUGCCGACGUCUACACUGGCAACGGCACCCUGGCCGACGUCGAGACGGGCAACGGAACUUUGGCAGAUGGCAACGGCACCCUGGCCGACACGGGCAACGGAACUUUGGCAGAUGGCAACGACACCCUGGGCGACGACGGAAACGUGACUUUGGCUGACGGCUACACGGGCAACGGCACCCUGGGCGACGACGGCAGCAAUGGAACUUUGGCUGAUGGCUACACGGGCAACGGCACCCUGGGCGACGACGGCAACGUGACUUUUGCUGACGUCUACACUGGCAACGGCACCCUGGCCGACGUCGAGACGGGCAACGGCACCCUGGGCGACGAUGGCAGCAAUGGUACUUUGGCUGACGUCUACGCGGGCAACGGCACCCUGGCCGACGUCGACACGGGCAACGGAACUUUGGCAGAUGGCAACGGCACCCUGUCCGACGUCUACACCCGCAACGGCACCCUGUCCGACGUCUACACCCGCAACGGCACCCUGGGCGACGAUGGCAGCAAUGGUACUUUGGCUGACGUCUACGCGGGCAACGGCACCCUGGGCGACGACGGCAACGAGACUUUGGCUGACGUCUACGCGGGCAACGGCACCCUGGGCGACGACGGCAGCAAUGGAACUUUGGCAGAUGCCGACGCAG